GCCCGGUUAGCUCAGUUGCUCGAGGACCAAACUCGUAAUCUGGCUGUCGCGGGUUCGAGCCCCACAUCGGGCU
Molecule: transfer RNA, 73 nt
Filed under: Angiostrongylus costaricensis
Lineage: Eukaryota; Metazoa; Nematoda; Chromadorea; Rhabditida; Metastrongylidae
Rfam family: tRNA
About the family: Transfer RNA (tRNA) molecules are approximately 80 nucleotides in length. Their secondary structure includes four short double-helical elements and three loops (D, anti-codon, and T loops). Further hydrogen bonds mediate the characteristic L-shaped molecular structure. tRNAs have two regions of fundamental functional importance: the anti-codon, which is responsible for specific mRNA codon recognition, and the 3' end, to which the tRNAs corresponding amino acid is attached (by aminoacyl-tRNA synthetases). tRNAs cope with the degeneracy of the genetic code in two manners: having more than one tRNA (with a specific anti-codon) for a particular amino acid; and 'wobble' base-pairing, i.e. permitting non-standard base-pairing at the 3rd anti-codon position.
Source: Rfam by way of RNAcentral